UUCCCCUUUAAGCAGCUGUCUGUCUGUCUGUCUGCACUGCUUCCUUUUAUACAUACAGGUGGGAGCUGCCAUACCAUUUUCCUCUGUGCGGGUAGAACUGACAUCCAUGAAAAACAACCACUACAUUUAUUUCCUUUUUUCAGAAUAAAAUCUCCUUAUUCCUGGAAUGUUUGCCCCAUAGAAACCCCAAACCCUUUUCUGUCUCUAUUCUCCUCAGAUCCAGACUGACUGUGAGCAGCAUUUAGAGCCAUUUAGUAUUCUGUCCCUAAUGCUCUUUCCUUUCACUUACAGACGCUGUACGUCGUCCUGGAGGACUUCAGGGAGGAAGACACCGACUUUAAGGCCCUUGCCUCCUAUUACGAACAUCACUACCGGGUUCCACUUCGGCAAGAACGUCGUCCUAGAGGACUUUAUUCUUCGCUAUUACUUCGACCCCAGGACGACGCACAGAGACAACAUUUACGAGUACUGGGUGUUGAUCGAUUUUCUGGAAGUACUCGAGAGGGAGUGUAUCGCCCUCUACAGUGAGGAGUUGCUGCCUCCUGAAGCAUCAUCGGAACACUGGAGAUGGGGGCAGCAUGUCGAGUAUCUGCGGCUGCAGAAUACUAUCCAAUGGCACCUUCACCAGCUUGCCAUGACGCUCUGGGAGAGGGAGCAGAAGCUGCAGGAGGCUGCUGGUGAGGAACAACAGGCAAGUCCUGCAGCUGAGGGAGAAAAGGAAGGAGCUCCUGCAGCAGAGGAGGAGAAGGAAGAGGGAGCUCCUGGAGAACAACAAGCUCCUGCAGCAGAGAAGGUGGAGGGAGAACAGGGAGCUCCUGGGGACGUACCACAUCCUACACAGGAGGAGGAGAAAGACGAGGGAGCUCUUGAAGAACAACAAGCUCCUGCAGCAGAGGAGGAGAAUGAAGACGGAGCUCCAGAAGAACAGCAAGCUCCUGCAGCGGAGCAGGAGAUAGAAGAGGGAGCCCCUGGGAACAGCAAGCUCCUGCUGCUGAGGAGAAGAAAGAGGGAGCUGAUGGAUCACAGCAAGCUCCUGCAGCACAAGAGGAGAAGGAAGAGGGAGCUCCAGGAGAACAGCAAGCUCCUGCAGCGGAGGAGGAGAAGGAAGAAAAGGGAGCUAAUGAAGAACAGCAAGCUCCUGCAGUGAAGGAGGAAAGAGAAGAAGGAGCUCCAGAAGAACAACAAGCUCCUGCUGCUGAGGAGGAGGAGAGAGAAGCUCCUGCUGCAGAGGAUGAUGAGAGAGAAGAGGGAGCCCCUGGACAAGAGCAAGCUCCUGCUGCUGCUGAGGAGGAGAGAGAAGAGGGAGCCCCUGAGGAACAACAGGCUCCUGCACCGGAGGAGGAGAAAGAAGAGGAAGUAGCUACAGAACAAGCUCCUGAGAUGGAAGAAACCAUCGAAGAUCCUCCGGUGGUAGAAAGGCCGACCCUCCGAAAACGGGUCAAGAAGGCCAUAAUGAAGAGGCUUCGCAGGGUUUGGCAUUCCACCCAAAGACUCACCUGCUGCCGCCGACCCUCCACCACGGCCUAAAUCCUUUCCUUCCUACCGACCUUUCCCGAGAGCGUAUGUCUGUGUGUGUCUGUCUGUUAUGUACAGGAGGGAGAGUAGGGGGUUGUGUAUAGGAGGGAGAGUAGG
Molecule: RNA transcript, 1632 nt
Organism: Xenopus laevis (African clawed frog)
Lineage: Eukaryota; Metazoa; Chordata; Amphibia; Anura; Pipidae
Gene name: pescadillo homolog
Exons: 8
Source: RefSeq, a predicted model, not a curated record